GUGCCAGCAGCCGCGGUAAAACGUAGGUGGCGAGCGUUAUCCGGAUUUACUGGGCGUAAAGCGUGUGCAGGCGGACGACCAAGUGGUGUAUGAAAUCUCUCAGCUUAACUGAGAUAGGUUAUGCCAGACUGGUGGUCUAGAGUACGAGAGAGGGACGUGGAAUUCCGGGUGUAGUGGUGAAAUGCGUAGAGAUCCGGAGGAACCCCAGAGGCGAAGGCGGCGUCCUGGCUCGAUACUGACGCUCAGACACGACAGCAUGGGGAGCGAACGGGAUUAGAAACCCCCGUAGUCC
RNAcentral lists this ribosomal RNA (292 nucleotides) under uncultured bacterium. RNAcentral's name for it is "partial 16S ribosomal RNA". It matches the Rfam family "Bacterial small subunit ribosomal RNA", at positions 505 to 796 of the family's 1533-position model. The record is from RNAcentral.